AUCUGUCAGUUACGGGGGCUGCCCGGCGGGCGGGCUGGAGGCGCUCGCAGGCUGCCUAGUCGUUCGCUCGCUCUCUCUCGCGUGCUCCCUCUCGUCGCCUGUGGGGAAGUCGGGGCCGCCCGAGCGGCCGUCGCCACCGCCUCGCCCCGACCUCCUUCCCGGUCCCCUCCCGGCCCAGUCCCUCCCGCCCGCGCACCCCGAGUAGUGAGUGGCCCCGCGCAGGGUCUGGAGAGUCACCGCGGCGGCGCCGGGUGGUGGUUAAACCAUGUUAAGGAGGAUUUUACAGAGGAGUCUCUCUGUCACCUAAGCUGGAGUGCAGUGGCGUGAUGUCGGCUCACUGCAACCUCCGUCUCCCGGGUUCAAGCGAUUCUCCUGCCCUGGGCUCCCCAGGGGAUUACAGACUCCUGGGAGAGUUGGCUCUCAAGGUUCUGAUUUAGAUUCAUCAGCAACUCCUAUAAACACAGUGGACGUCAAUAAUGAAAGCUCUUCAGAGGGUUUCAUAUGUCCCCAGUGUAUGAAAUCUCUUGGAUCUGCUGAUGAACUUUUCAAACAUUAUGAAGCUGUUCAUGAUGCUGGUAAUGACUCAGGUCAUGGAGGAGAGUCUAAUCUUGCUUUGAAGCGAGAUGAUGUAACACUGCUCAGACAAGAGGUCCAAGACCUA
RNAcentral lists this small RNA (661 nucleotides) under Pan troglodytes (chimpanzee). Its description in RNAcentral is "processed transcript". The record is from RNAcentral. Lineage: Eukaryota; Metazoa; Chordata; Mammalia; Primates; Hominidae.